RNAcentral lists this unclassified non-coding RNA (582 nucleotides) under Sonerila sp. R3-2019. Its description in RNAcentral is "partial contains external transcribed spacer and small subunit ribosomal RNA". The record is from RNAcentral. Lineage: Eukaryota; Viridiplantae; Streptophyta; Magnoliopsida; Myrtales; Melastomataceae.
AGUUCGGGGCUCGAAUCGAUCAUCCGUUCGGCCUCCAUUUUUGGAGUCGUCGUCGGAUCGUUCGGUGAGUACCGACUUGUUUUGGGACGACGCAUGAGUUGCGUUGUAGAUAUGCGUCGUUGUAGGCUCCAUGCUUUGGCAUCGAACUAUAACGGCUUAUCUUCCUCAUUAAUGGGCUCGCGUUGGUGUUUUCGUCAUCGUUCGCGGUCGCUCCUUGGGUUCCUGCGUUUCAUAUCGGAUUCGACAUUUGGAUGCACUUCUAGUCCUGGCACCGUUUGUCGAUUCUCCCUCGUCCCACGCGGCGUCGGAGGUUAUUUUGAUGUCAUCGACGUUCGCCUUAUGCGCUGCAGUCUCCUCUGAACGGGAGCUGUUGUUCGUGACGGCAUGUCGAUGCACUUGGCUUUCUCGGGUGCAGAGAAAUUCUGGUUAUCGUGUCGGUCCACGACCCUUGUUAGCUUAACGUUACCGAGCGUGCUUUUGCAUUUACGACCCUCGUUCUCGUCCAGGAGCUCACGGAGCUUGUUCGUUCGGUGUAGUACCUGGAGAGUCACCGAGGUCGAUGACGGAAUCUACCUGGUUGAU